CCCAGAUCAAUCUAAUAAUCAAUUUGUUCGCAUGUAUUUAUUGCUGCAUAAUUUCAAGAUAAUUAACUUUUAUUUGUUCACUCACUUCACUCACUCAUUCACGAUCAUGAAGAUUUUAUUCAUAUCAAUUGUUAUGUUAUUAAUUGCAAUGGUAUCGGGUUAUUGGAAAGAAGCUGUUAAACAAAAGGCUUACCGGGUUAGAGACACAGCCGUUAGAGUGCAGAAAGAUUUAACCGCAUUGAGGGGGAUACUGCAAUUCCAGGCGAGGAUUAAAUCGAAACUGGACUUAAAUUGCUAGUAAAUGGAGUAACUACAUCUAAGAAGAUUUGCACAACUUUACAAAAAUGUCGUGGACACAAUAAAACAAAUUUUAAUAUCACAAAUAUAUUUAUUGUAUUAUUGUA
Cydia splendana is the source of this 404-nucleotide long non-coding RNA. RefSeq lists it as uncharacterized. The transcript has 3 exons. NCBI's taxonomy places the organism in Eukaryota, Metazoa, Arthropoda, Insecta, Lepidoptera, Tortricidae. The record is from RefSeq and is a predicted model, not a curated record.